AUUUAUAUAGUAUAAAUUAUUAUAUUUGACUUCCAAUCAAAAGAUCUAUAUUAUAGUAUAAAUA
This 64-nucleotide transfer RNA is filed under the name Callimerus inbasalis. Its description in RNAcentral is "tRNA-Gly". The record is from RNAcentral. Lineage: Eukaryota; Metazoa; Arthropoda; Insecta; Coleoptera; Cleridae.